AAAAGGUGAUCUCCUGGCUAGAGAUAUCAAAUCUGUGGUCUAAAGGGAAAAACAAUGAAGACAUUGAUUUAUUCUUUAUUCAUGUUCUUGUGGCUGCAUCUUAGCUGUGUGAGCCGAGGAGAGAAGGUGGAGCAGAGUCCUACUACCCUGAGUGUCCAGGAGGGAGACAGUGCUGUUAUCAACUGUACUUAUUCAGACAGUGCUGCGGUCUACUUUCCUUGGUAUAAGCAAGAGGCUGGAAAAGGUCUACAGCACAUUAUAGACAUUCGUUCAAAUAAGGAGAUGAAUCAAAUCCAAAGAUUCAUUGUUGUGUUGAAUAAGAGAGCCAAACACUUCUUCCUGAACAUCACCACCACCCAAGCUGGAGACUCAGCUGUGUACUUCUGUGCAGCCAGUGCACGGUGCUUCCCAGACACCUGCAGCCUGUACUCAAACCUGCCACUGGGCUGA
Molecule: non-coding RNA, 450 nt
Organism: Sciurus carolinensis (gray squirrel)
Lineage: Eukaryota; Metazoa; Chordata; Mammalia; Rodentia; Sciuridae
Source: the annotation of a RefSeq genome assembly